ACACGGAAUCGAGAGCUCCAAGU
Molecule: small nuclear RNA, 23 nt
Filed under: Arabidopsis thaliana (thale cress)
Lineage: Eukaryota; Viridiplantae; Streptophyta; Magnoliopsida; Brassicales; Brassicaceae
Description: snRNA_05974
Source: RNAcentral